Molecule: unclassified non-coding RNA, 206 nt
Filed under: fungal sp.
Lineage: Eukaryota; Fungi
Description: partial internal transcribed spacer region
Rfam family: Eukaryotic small subunit ribosomal RNA (bases 1-46)
Source: RNAcentral
AAGUCGUAACAAGGUAACCGUAGGUGAACCUGCGGUUGGAUCAUUAAUAAAUCUAGAAGACCUUCAAGGUCUCUCUAACAUCUUGUGAAUCGUUUAUUGUCUCUGGCGGAUCUCGGUCCGCAAGAAUAUACUUUGUAUUAUCUUUAGUCUAUAACUUUUAAUGAAAAAUUAAAAACAACUUUUGACAACGGAUCUCUAGGCUCUCA